GUCUAUUAUGAAGUUAUUUAUAGUCUGGCCUGCUCCCUGACUAUAAAGUUAAAGAGCCGCGGUAAUUUGACCGUGCAAAGGUAGCAUAAUCAUUAGUUUCUUAAUUGGGAACUUGUAUGAAAGGUCUGACAAAGGAAAAGCUGUCUUUAUUGUAAAGGUUGAAUUUAACUUUUAAGUGAAAAGGCUUAAAUGAUUUAGAGGGACGAUAAGACCCUAUAAAGCUUUAUAUAAAAAAUAAUCAAAAUUGAAUUUAUAAUAAAAAUUUAAAUUAAUUAUUAUAUUUUAUUGGGGUGAUAUUAAUAAAAGUAAUAUUAACUGUUAAAAAAAAAUACGUGAAUAAAAGAAUUGAAUAUAUUAAUGAUCCUUGUUUAAAGAUUAAAAGAUUAAGUUACUUUAGGGAUAACAGCGUAAUUCUUCUUAAGAGUUCAUAUCGAAAGAAGAGAUUUUGACCUCGAUGUUGAAUUAAAAUAUCUGUGUAAAGUAGCCAUUACAUGAGAAGGUCUGUUCGACCUUUAAAUUUUU
RNAcentral lists this ribosomal RNA (522 nucleotides) under Trapezia cymodoce. RNAcentral describes it as "partial 16S ribosomal RNA". It matches the Rfam family "Bacterial large subunit ribosomal RNA", at positions 1826 to 2597 of the family's 2925-position model. The record is from RNAcentral. Lineage: Eukaryota; Metazoa; Arthropoda; Malacostraca; Decapoda; Trapeziidae.